GACGUAAUCCCCACCUUCCUCCAAUUUUUCAUUGGCAGUCUCGUUAAAGUCCCCAUCAUUACAUGCUGGCAAUUAACGACAAGGGUUGCGCUCGUUUUAGGACUUAACCUAACAUCUCACGACACGAGCUGACGACAACCAUGCACCACCUGUUUUCCUGAUAACCUCCAUUAUAUUUCUAUAACUUCGCAAGAAAAUGUCAAGACCUGGUAAGGUUUUUCGUGUAUCUUCGAAUUAAACAACAUGAUCCACCGCUUGUGCGGAGUCCCGUCAAUUCCUUUAAGUUUCAUACUUGCGUACGUACUACUCAGGCGGAGUACUUAAUGUGUUAACUUCAGUACCG
RNAcentral lists this ribosomal RNA (343 nucleotides) under Candidatus Phytoplasma pruni. RNAcentral describes it as "partial 16S ribosomal RNA". The record is from RNAcentral. Lineage: Bacteria; Bacillati; Mycoplasmatota; Mollicutes; Acholeplasmatales; Acholeplasmataceae.